AUACGUAGGUGGCAAGCGUUGUCCGGAAUUAUUGGGCGUAAAGCGCGCGCAGGUGGUUCCUUAAGUCUGAUGUGAAAGCCCCCGGCUCAACCGGGGAGGGUCAUUGGAAACUGGGGAACUUGAGUGCAGAAGAGGAUAGUGGAAUUCCAAGUGUAGCGGUGAAAUGCGUAGAGAUUAGGAGGAACACCAGUGGCGAAGGCGACUGUCUGGUCUGUAACUGACACUGAGGCGCGAAAGCGUGGGGAGCAAACAGGAUUAGAUACCCUGGUAGUCCACGCCGUAAACGAUGAGUGCUAAGUGUUGGGGGGUUUCCGCCCCUCAGUGCUGCAGCUAACGCAUUAAGCACUCCGCCUGGGGAGUACGGUCGCAAGACUGAAACUCAAAGGAAUUGACGGGG
RNAcentral lists this ribosomal RNA (397 nucleotides) under uncultured bacterium. Its description in RNAcentral is "partial 16S ribosomal RNA". It matches the Rfam family "Bacterial small subunit ribosomal RNA", at positions 523 to 918 of the family's 1533-position model. The record is from RNAcentral.